This 253-nucleotide ribosomal RNA is filed under the name uncultured bacterium. RNAcentral's name for it is "partial 16S ribosomal RNA". It matches the Rfam family "Bacterial small subunit ribosomal RNA", at positions 524 to 776 of the family's 1533-position model. The record is from RNAcentral.
UACGUAGGGUGCAAGCGUUAAUCGGAAUUACUGGGCGUAAAGCGUGCGCAGGCGGUUUUGUAAGUCUGUCGUGAAAUCCCCAGGCUUAACCUGGGAACUGCAUUCGAGACUGCAUAGCUAGAGUAUGGGAGAGGGAAGUGGAAUUUCAGGUGUAGCGGUGAAAUGCGUAGAUAUCUGAAGGAACAUCAGUGGCGAAAGCGACUUCCUGGACCAAUACUGACGCUCAUGUGCGAAAGCGUGGGGAGCAAACAGG